UAGGGAAUCUUCCGCAAUGGGCGAAAGCCUGACGGAGCAACGCCGCGUGAGUGAUGAAGGUCUUCGGAUCGUAAAACUCUGUUAUUAGGGAAGAACAAAUGUGUAAGUAACUAUGCACGUCUUGACGGUACCUAAUCAGAAAGCCAAGGCUAACUACGUGCCAGCAGCAGCGGUAAUACGUAGGUGGCAAGCGUUAUCCGGAAUUAUUGGGCGUAAAGCGCGCGUAGGCGGUUUUUUAAGUCUGAUGUGAAAGCCCACGGCUCAACCGUGGAGGGUCAUUGGAAACUGGAAAACUUGAGUGCAGAAGAGGAAAGUGGAAUUCCAUGUGUAGCGGUGAAAUGCGCAGAGAUAUGGAGGAACACCAGUGGCGAAGGCGACUUUCUGGUCUGUAACUGACGCUGAUGUGCGAAAGCGUGGGGAUCAAACAGG
This 429-nucleotide ribosomal RNA is filed under the name Actinomycetes bacterium. RNAcentral's name for it is "Actinobacteria bacterium partial 16S ribosomal RNA". It matches the Rfam family "Bacterial small subunit ribosomal RNA", at positions 355 to 776 of the family's 1533-position model. Lineage: Bacteria; Bacillati; Actinomycetota; Actinomycetes. The record is from RNAcentral.